GCUGGUGCUUGCACUGGUGGAUUAGUGGCGAACGGGUGAGUAACACGUGAGUAACCUGCCCCUGACUUCGGGAUAAGCCCGGGAAACUGGGUCUAAUACCGGAUAUGACUUCCUGCUGCAUGGCAGGGGGUGGAAAGAUUUAUCGGUUGGGGAUGGACUCGCGGCCUAUCAGCUUGUUGGUGAGGUAAUGGCUCACCAAGGCGACGACGGGUAGCCGGCCUGAGAGGGUGACCGGCCACACUGGGACUGAGACACGGCCCAGACUCCUACGGGAGGCAGCAGUGGGGAAUAUUGCACAAUGGGCGAAAGCCUGAUGCAGCGACGCCGCGUGAGGGAUGACGGCCUUCGGGUUGUAAACCUCUUUCAGUAGGGAAGAAGCCCCUUUUGGGGGGUGACGGUACUUGCAAAAAAAGCCCCGGCUAACUACGUGCCAACACCCGCGGUAAUACAUAGGGCGCACGCGAUAUCCAGAUUUAUUGG
This 480-nucleotide ribosomal RNA is filed under the name Arthrobacter sp. RNAcentral's name for it is "bacterial SSU rRNA". It matches the Rfam family "Bacterial small subunit ribosomal RNA", at positions 72 to 557 of the family's 1533-position model. Lineage: Bacteria; Bacillati; Actinomycetota; Actinomycetes; Micrococcales; Micrococcaceae. The record is from RNAcentral.